GACGAACGCUGGCGGCGUGCUUAACACAUGCAAGUCGAACGGAAAGGCCCUGCUUUUGUGGGGUGCUCGAGUGGCGAACGGGUGAGUAACAUGGGAGUAACCUGCCCUUGACUUUGGGAUAACUUCAGGAAACUGGGACUAAUACCUGAUAGGAGCUCCUGCUGCAUGGGGGGGGUUGGAAAGUUUCGGCGGUUGGGGAUGGACUCGGGGCUUAUCAGCUUGUUGGUGGGGUAGUGGCAUACCAAGGCUUUGACGGGUAGCCGGCCUGAGAGGGCGACCGGCCACAUUGGGACUGCGAUACGGCCCAGACUCCUACGGGAGGCAGCAGUGGGGAAUAUUGCACAAUGGGCGGAAGCCUGAUGCAGCAACGCCGCGUGCGGGAUGACGGCCUUCGGGUUGUAAACCGCUUUCGCCUGUGACGAAGCGUGAGUGACGGUAAUGGGUAAAGAAGCACCGGCUAACUACGUG
This 468-nucleotide ribosomal RNA is filed under the name uncultured bacterium. RNAcentral's name for it is "partial 16S ribosomal RNA". It matches the Rfam family "Bacterial small subunit ribosomal RNA", at positions 28 to 507 of the family's 1533-position model. The record is from RNAcentral.